CAGUCGCCGCGGUAAUACAGAGGGUGCGAGCGUUAAUCGGAUUUACUGGGCGUAAAGCGUGCGCAGGCGGUUCGUUAAGACAGAUGUGAAAUCCCCGGGCUUAACCUGGGAACUGCAUUUGUGACUGACGGGCUAGAGUAUGGCAGAGGGGGGUAGAAUUCCACGUGUAGCAGUGAAAUGCGUAGAGAUGUGGAGGAAUACCGAUGGCGAAGGCAGCCCCCUGGGCCAAUACUGACGCUCAUGCACGAAAGCGUGGGGAGCAAACAGGAUUAGAUACCCGAGUAGUCCCUGUCUCUUAUAU
RNAcentral lists this ribosomal RNA (301 nucleotides) under uncultured bacterium. Its description in RNAcentral is "partial 16S ribosomal RNA". It matches the Rfam family "Bacterial small subunit ribosomal RNA", at positions 509 to 809 of the family's 1533-position model. The record is from RNAcentral.